CUGGUCUAUCUCGGUUGGGAGGUGGAACGUAG
Molecule: non-coding RNA, 32 nt
Filed under: Geobacter sulfurreducens KN400
Lineage: Bacteria; Pseudomonadati; Thermodesulfobacteriota; Desulfuromonadia; Geobacterales; Geobacteraceae
Source: RNAcentral